This 498-nucleotide ribosomal RNA is filed under the name Pseudidiomarina sediminum. RNAcentral describes it as "bacterial SSU rRNA". It matches the Rfam family "Bacterial small subunit ribosomal RNA", at positions 38 to 524 of the family's 1533-position model. Lineage: Bacteria; Pseudomonadati; Pseudomonadota; Gammaproteobacteria; Alteromonadales; Idiomarinaceae. The record is from RNAcentral.
GCGGGGGGGAGUCUAACACAUGCAGUCGAGCGGUAACAGGAAGAAGCUUGCUUCUUUGCUGACGAGCGGCGGACGGGUGAGUAAUACUUGGGAACUUGCCUUUAGGAGGGGGAUAACCGCUGGAAACGGUGGCUAAUACCGCAUAAUGUCUACGGACCAAAGCAGGGGCUCUUCGGACCUUGCACCUAAAGAUAGGCCCAAGCGAGAUUAGCUAGUUGGUGGGGUAAAGGCCCACCAAGGCGACGAUCUCUAGCUGUUCUGAGAGGAUGAUCAGCCACACUGGGACUGAGACACGGCCCAGACUCCUACGGGAGGCAGCAGUGGGGAAUAUUGCACAAUGGGGGAAACCCUGAUGCAGCCAUGCCGCGUGUGUGAAGAAGGCCUUCGGGUUGUAAAGCACUUUCAGUGGUGAGGAAGGCCGUAAGAUUAAUACUCUUGCGGAUUGACGUUAACCACAGAAGAAGCACCGGCUAACUCCGUGCCAGCAGCCGCGGUAAU